This 497-nucleotide ribosomal RNA is filed under the name uncultured bacterium. RNAcentral describes it as "partial 16S ribosomal RNA". It matches the Rfam family "Bacterial small subunit ribosomal RNA", at positions 28 to 507 of the family's 1533-position model. The record is from RNAcentral.
GAUGAACGCUGGCGGCGUGCCUAAUACAUGCAAGUCGAGCGAACAGACGAGGAGCUUGCUCCUCUGUCGUUAGCGGCGGACGGGUGAGUAACACGUGGAUAACCUACCUAUAAGACUGGGAUAACUUCGGGAAACCGGAGCUAAUACCGGAUAAUAUAUUGAACCGCAUGGUUCAAUAGUGAAAGACGGUUUUGCUGUCACUUAUAGAUGGAUCCGCGCCGCAUUAGCUAGUUGGUAAGGUAACGGCUUACCAAGGCGACGAUGCGUAGCCGACCUGAGAGGGUGAUCGGCCACACUGGAACUGAGACACGGUCCAGACUCCUACGGGAGGCAGCAGUAGGGAAUCUUCCGCAAUGGGCGAAAGCUUGACGGAGCAACGCCGCGUGAGUGAUGAAGGUCUUCGGAUCGUAAAACUCUGUUAUUAGGGAAGAACAAAUGUGUAAGUAACUAUGCACGUCUUGACGGUACCUAAUCAGAAAGCCACGGCUAACUACGUG